RNAcentral lists this small nuclear RNA (105 nucleotides) under Canis lupus familiaris (dog). The record is from RNAcentral. Lineage: Eukaryota; Metazoa; Chordata; Mammalia; Carnivora; Canidae. RNAcentral also lists the same sequence under 1 other name.
GCCCUCUUCAGCAGUACAUAUAUUAAAACUGGAACCAUACAGAGAAGAUUAGCAUGGCCCCUGCGCAAGGAUGACACACAAAUUUGCGAAGCGUUCCAUAUUUUU